UCAUAUUAACUUCAGAGAUAACAUUGUGGUAUACUAAAAUCACACGUUCAAAUCUUUUACAAUACCAAGUUUAAUACAAAACUUCAGUCGUAAUAUGAUACUAGAUAAUUUACAAUCACAAAAGAAUUCAUGUUAACUCCCUAAGCUCCCUCAUUCGUUUCUUGACCACCAACUCCUGUAAGGAAAACAAAACUAAAGGGUUGAGCUAAAGCUUAGUGAGGUUUCCAUGCAAGCAACAGUCAAUAAGCACUUAAACCAGAUAAGCCAAUAACAAAAUUAAGCAAUUAAGGAACACUUCACUGAGUAAAAUAAAGAACACUUCACUGAACAAUCACUUUUAAAAGGAUACGGUGCUCGCAUUAGAGCCACUUCCCUCUGGGAGUCAUUUCAAUGUCAUUCAGCAUUCAUUUCAGUGUCAAGAGACACUCAUUUCAAUAUCAUUGCACACUUAUUCAAUAUCAUUGUACAUUCAUUUAAAUAUCAUUGUACACUCCGCCGAUUCACCUCCUUAUGUCCUCCAAAACAAUAAACAAUCCCCUACAUUCAAUAAUCAGUUCAAUAAUCUCCCAACUUCAGGGUAAUACUCGAAUAUACCGAAACAGUUACCCAAAUCUUCAGUCCUAUCCGACCAAGCCCUUUGCUGGCUCGAAUAGUCCGUUGAACAGAGGGUUUUGGGGCCCAGUUCAACCGAUGCGGUAAAGUACACAUACGUCUUAUAUUCAUGCACAUUUACAGUAACAUUUAGUCAAUUAUCAACCUUCAACCUCAACUAAGUCGAGUGCGAUAAAGUACACCACUGACUUAAAGAUGAGGGACAAUUGAGAUACACUUUACAAGGAAUCAUUAGCAAUAUCCCAUAAUAAGCACUUUUAACACAUAAUUUUAAUUAAAUAAACAUAAACAGUUAAACACACAAUUCGGAAACACUCACCAAAUAUCCAAUUAAAUUACUCUUGAGUCUCGAGUUUGUUUCCUGGCUCACACCUAUUCCCUGGGAUAAGUGUAUAGGUCCAAAGUAAAUAUACAAUUUGUAGAUAUUCAUUUAUUAUUUAUUACCCUAUUAUUUGAACUAUUAAAAUCCAGUUUGACUUUAAAAUACAAAAUAUAAUGUAUUCAAUAUUUGUUCUACAUUUUAUUUCUAAACUUAUUGACCUUGUCAUUUUAACCAAGAAAUAUACAUAUUUUCUAAGGUUAUGAUUUAUAAAUAUUUAAAUUAGGAUUAAACCAUUUCUCACUCUAUAUCUUAAAGUUAAAAUAAAUAAACUUUUCAUCCUUCUUUUCUUUUCUUUUUUUUUUUCCAAAUCAAAUUCUAAGUUGUCUAUAAUUUAAGUUUUGUAUAAACUUAUUAGUUUUCUUGUUUAAAUUUCUUAAAUGCUCAUAAGCGGAGUUUCACAAUGAAUUAGCUUAAAUUUCAAGAUUUCAUAAAAGUUUCAUUUCUCCCUUCAUCCGGUCAGCAUAAACAGUUUUUUUUAGCUCAAAUGUUCCUUAACCUACAACUCCACUUUUUAAUUGCUUAAACUUUAGUCACCUAGUAUACAUUUCAUUCAAGGUGAAUAACUCAUAAUUUCAGCAUGUCGAUUGACCACAUCAUAUACAAAAUUUGUCAUCUUCAAUCGCAACCAUUAACUAGGCUUUCUAGCAAUGUAUCGGUCCAAUAUUCGGUAUGUUUCCCUCAAAUCUUUCCUUUCACUCUCACGUCCCAACUAGACAAGUUAGUUACAUUUAUUAAGCUACAAAGUAGCUUUGUACAGAACGUGGAAAAUUUGUAGCUAAACUCAAAGGAAAGACUGAUCAAAACUCUUCCCUCUCUCUCGGCCAUGAAGUAAUUCAGCAGCUUGAUUCACAGCUUUCCUCCUUAUUUGCCUUAGUUUAACUCUACUCAUAGUGCCAAACAUAGUUGUUAAACUACAGAGCAGCUUUGACUAUCAUCUAUGAAGGUUUAUAGUGUUGGAAAUUGGAGGAAAACUAGUCAGAAGAUAAUUUCCUUCCUCUCGGCAUCCUAACAGAUUGCACCAGCUUUCCUUGCCAGUUUUAGCUAGAAUUUUCUAAGGCUUGACCAUCGUUUCCAAGUUUUAAAGGUCAAUAGAGUGUAUAUGAGAGCAGGGACAAAAUAUUACACAAUUUUUUACUCAAGAUGGCAGCUAAUUAUCAUGAAAUUUUCAGAUAUUACAUGUAAGUUUCAGCCCCUCUUUCUCUCUACCAUUAGACAAGUUUCCAGCAACAUUACUUCAGAGUUUUGGUGGAGUUUCCAUCUUUUUCUUGCCCGAAACUCCAAACACACGACACACAUUCUGUCCAACAUGAAUUAAGGUCAAUGUCUCAUAAUUUCAACAGGUUAUUCAACCAAAUUCCCCUGCAAAAACUGCCAUCAGAUAUCGUGGUCUUCAAGUAGCUACACAAUCCAAUGCAAGCCUGUUUUCCCCACAUUUUCUUAUUUUCCUCCUCCCAACUCCAACUAGAGAGCAUUUUAUGCAAGAAUAUAAGGUUACCACCAAGAUCAGAGAGCAAUGCUGGAUCAAGUUUUAAUUUUUUCUCAGCUAGAGUGUAAGAAGCUGUUGCAGCAGAUUGCUACUUUUCCUUCAAGGUUCCCUUUAGUUUCAAUUCAUGGUUGUGUUACUUGUUGAAGUUAAGAGCUUAUGACAUGCUACAGUUCUAUACGUUUGUCUAGAGGUUAAAAUUUGCAGAGGACAAUCAAAGUUUCCUUCUGUUCUCUUUCGGCUGCAGUCACUAAAUUUUCAGCAAAACAAUAGUUUAUCAUUAAUAUUUGACAUUUUCUCCCCUUUUCUUCUUCAAUUUUUGGUCUCAAUCACUCAUGCAGUCGAUACUUAAUUUGUUGCAGGUUAUCCUAAGCUAGACAAGGUAGUUCUUGACCAAAAUUUCAGAGGAAAAUUGAAUAAAAUCACAAGUCUGCACAAGCCUGCUACAUCUGGUGCAUAGCAGCCUGCACCAGGUUACUUUCAUGCCCACAGUUCCAAUUCUUACAACUCCUACGGUUAAUCCUUCUUUUACUACUUAAAGUGGACGUAUUUCAUGCUUUCCUAGCUGUAGUUCCCAUUUUUCUGAUAACUAGCCACACAAUUAGCACUUAUCUCAUGGUUAGAAGUCAGAACUUCCUCUUAGCAAACAAUCGAUUCAAAACAAAAUUUCUCCUGCAACAACACUUAGUUUUUCUUGGCUAGAUUCCAGCACACACAGCAUGCAAGGAAUAUCUAUUCGGUUACAGGUUUACUUAACAAAACGUGAGUCUAAGAUUCAAGAGACUAACAUAAUCAAAGCUUAUUUCCGUCGUCAGUUACAAAUUCCGAUGCUUAACAGCAUGCAUCAGCUUUCCAUACUCAAGCUUCUCAGCUCCUACCAGGUUAGUCACUUAUUUACUUCAUCUGCAUAAUCGAAUCUUUCUCCUAUCGAACUUAACCUGCAGCUUAUCCAUUCAUUCAUUUUCUACCAAAUAAGCUUGAGAUUAUUGUAGAUUCUUAGCAUUAUCAUCCCAAAAUUUUUAAAACAGUUACAAAUUCCAGUUCUGCAAUUUUCACAGUUUCUGCUUAAUAUUUCCUCGUACCAGAACCUAAGUUACUGGCUAAGCUCAAGUUAUAACUCAUGUAUGGUUCCAGUUAUACUAAAUAAGCAGAAAAUUAGUGAAGAUUCUUACCCCUUUUUCUCACUAAAAUCCGAUAACAAAAGGCUGCUCUAGCUUCCUGCUUCAGUUCCUUCAGGUCCUAGCUCCUCUUCUCCCGCUUUCCUUGCAGUACUUUUCUUGCUUUUGUUUAGUUGGCAAUGAAGCUGGCCAAGCUUCCUCUCCCACUCUCACACUCAGUUCUACACUCUCAGUACUGUCCAAAUGUAUCAGCAGAUGGGUUUCUCUUUUUUUUUCCUCUCGGUUGUUAGGUUGGGCAGAAAAGGUUUGAAGCUUUGCUUCUCUACUCAGCUAUCGCCUAAGUGUUGUAAUUGGUUUCUCUUAGCUUUCUUUCGGUCACCGCCCAACUUAUGAAGCAAUCUCUAUUUGCUCCACUAGUCACUGC
Molecule: long non-coding RNA, 4019 nt
Filed under: Coffea arabica (coffee)
Lineage: Eukaryota; Viridiplantae; Streptophyta; Magnoliopsida; Gentianales; Rubiaceae
Description: long non-coding RNA (CARA_LNC007817)
Source: RNAcentral